Molecule: ribosomal RNA, 406 nt
Filed under: uncultured bacterium
Lineage: Bacteria
Description: partial 16S ribosomal RNA
Rfam family: Bacterial small subunit ribosomal RNA
Source: RNAcentral
AUUGAACGCUGGCGGCAGGCUUAACACAUGCAAGUCGAGCGCGCGGCGGACGGGUGUGUAAUGUCUGGGAAACUGCCUGAUGGAGGGGGAUAACUACUGGACACGGUAUCUAAUACCGCAUACCAUCAGAUGUGCCCAGAUGGGAUUAGCGAGUAGGUGGGGUAAUGGCUCACCUAGGCGACGAUCCCUAGCUGGUCUGAGAGGAUGACCAGCCACACUGGAACUGAGACACGGUCCAGACUCCUACGGGAGGCAGCAGUGGGGAAUAUUGCACAAGGGGCGCAAGCCUGAUGCAGCCAUGCCGCGUGUGUGAAGAAGGCCUUCGGGUUGUAAAGCACUUUCAGCGAGGAGGCGUUACUCGCAGAAGAAGCACCGGCUAACUACGUACCAGCAGCCGCGGUAAUAC